Molecule: ribosomal RNA, 2907 nt
Filed under: Klebsiella grimontii
Lineage: Bacteria; Pseudomonadati; Pseudomonadota; Gammaproteobacteria; Enterobacterales; Enterobacteriaceae
Description: 23S ribosomal RNA
Rfam family: Bacterial large subunit ribosomal RNA
Source: RNAcentral
GGUUAAGCGACUAAGCGUACACGGUGGAUGCCCUGGCAGUCAGAGGCGAUGAAGGACGUGCUAAUCUGCGAAAAGCGUCGGUAAGGUGAUAUGAACCGUUAUAGCCGGCGAUGUCCGAAUGGGGAAACCCAGUGCAAUUCGUUGCACUAUCGUUUGAUGAAUACAUAGUCAAACGAGGCGAACCGGGGGAACUGAAACAUCUAAGUACCCCGAGGAAAAGAAAUCAACCGAGAUUCCCCCAGUAGCGGCGAGCGAACGGGGAGCAGCCCGGAGUCUGAAUCAGCUUGUGUGUUAGUGGAAGCGUCUGGAAAGUCGCAGGGUACAGGGUGAUACUCCCGUACACUAAAACACACAGGCUGUGAACUCGAAGAGUAGGGCGGGACACGUGGUAUCCUGUCUGAAUAUGGGGGGACCAUCCUCCAAGGCUAAAUACUCCUGACUGACCGAUAGUGAACCAGUACCGUGAGGGAAAGGCGAAAAGAACCCCGGCGAGGGGAGUGAAAAAGAACCUGAAACCGUGUACGUACAAGCAGUAGGAGCCUCUUUAUGGGGUGACUGCGUACCUUUUGUAUAAUGGGUCAGCGACUUAUAUUCUGUAGCAAGGUUAACCGUAUAGGGGAGCCGCAGGGAAACCGAGUCUUAACUGGGCGUUAAGUUGCAGGGUAUAGACCCGAAACCCGGUGAUCUAGCCAUGGGCAGGUUGAAGGUUGGGUAACACUAACUGGAGGACCGAACCGACUAAUGUUGAAAAAUUAGCGGAUGACUUGUGGCUGGGGGUGAAAGGCCAAUCAAACCGGGAGAUAGCUGGUUCUCCCCGAAAGCUAUUUAGGUAGCGCCUCGUGAACUCAUCUUCGGGGGUAGAGCACUGUUUCGGCUAGGGGGUCAUCCCGACUUACCAACCCGAUGCAAACUACGAAUACCGAAGAAUGUUAUCACGGGAGACACACGGCGGGUGCUAACGUCCGUCGUGAAGAGGGAAACAACCCAGACCGCCAGCUAAGGUCCCAAAGUCAUGGUUAAGUGGGAAACGAUGUGGGAAGGCCCAGACAGCCAGGAUGUUGGCUUAGAAGCAGCCAUCAUUUAAAGAAAGCGUAAUAGCUCACUGGUCGAGUCGGCCUGCGCGGAAGAUGUAACGGGGCUAAACCAUGCACCGAAGCUGCGGCAGCGACACUAUGUGUUGUUGGGUAGGGGAGCGUUCUGUAAGCCGUUGAAGGUGGCCUGUGAGGGUUGCUGGAGGUAUCAGAAGUGCGAAUGCUGACAUAAGUAACGAUAAUGCGGGUGAAAAACCCGCACGCCGGAAGACCAAGGGUUCCUGUCCAACGUUAAUCGGGGCAGGGUGAGUCGACCCCUAAGGCGAGGCCGAAAGGCGUAGUCGAUGGGAAACAGGUUAAUAUUCCUGUACUCGGUGUUACUGCGAAGGGGGGACGGAGAAGGCUAUGUUGGCCGGGCGACGGUUGUCCCGGUUUAAGCAUGUAGGCGGAUGUUCCAGGUAAAUCCGGAACGUUACUAACGCUGAGGUGUGAUGACGAGGCACUACGGUGCUGAAGUGACAAAUGCCCUGCUUCCAGGAAAAGCCUCUAAGCAUCAGGUAACAUCAAAUCGUACCCCAAACCGACACAGGUGGUCAGGUAGAGAAUACCAAGGCGCUUGAGAGAACUCGGGUGAAGGAACUAGGCAAAAUGGUGCCGUAACUUCGGGAGAAGGCACGCUGAUAUGUAGGUGAAGUGGUUUACCCAUGGAGCUGAAAUCAGUCGAAGAUACCAGCUGGCUGCAACUGUUUAUUAAAAACACAGCACUGUGCAAACACGAAAGUGGACGUAUACGGUGUGACGCCUGCCCGGUGCCGGAAGGUUAAUUGAUGGGGUUAUCCGUAAGGAGAAGCUCUUGAUCGAAGCCCCGGUAAACGGCGGCCGUAACUAUAACGGUCCUAAGGUAGCGAAAUUCCUUGUCGGGUAAGUUCCGACCUGCACGAAUGGCGUAAUGAUGGCCAGGCUGUCUCCACCCGAGACUCAGUGAAAUUGAACUCGCUGUGAAGAUGCAGUGUACCCGCGGCAAGACGGAAAGACCCCGUGAACCUUUACUAUAGCUUGACACUGAACACUGGUCCUUGAUGUGUAGGAUAGGUGGGAGGCUUUGAAGUGUGGACGCCAGUCUGCAUGGAGCCAUCCUUGAAAUACCACCCUUUAAUGGCUGGUGUUCUAACGUGGGCCCCUAAUCGGGGUUGCGGACAGUGUCUGGUGGGUAGUUUGACUGGGGCGGUCUCCUCCUAAAGAGUAACGGAGGAGCACGAAGGUCAGCUAAUCCUGGUCGGACAUCAGGAGGUUAGUGCAAUGGCAUAAGCUGGCUUGACUGCGAGCGUGACGGCGCGAGCAGGUGCGAAAGCAGGUCAUAGUGAUCCGGUGGUUCUGAAUGGAAGGGCCAUCGCUCAACGGAUAAAAGGUACUCCGGGGAUAACAGGCUGAUACCGCCCAAGAGUUCAUAUCGACGGCGGUGUUUGGCACCUCGAUGUCGGCUCAUCACAUCCUGGGGCUGAAGUAGGUCCCAAGGGUAUGGCUGUUCGCCAUUUAAAGUGGUACGCGAGCUGGGUUUAGAACGUCGUGAGACAGUUCGGUCCCUAUCUGCCGUGGGCGCUGGAGAAUUGAGGGGGGCUGCUCCUAGUACGAGAGGACCGGAGUGGACGCAUCACUGGUGUUCGGGUUGUCAUGCCAAUGGCAUUGCCCGGUAGCUAAAUGCGGAAGAGAUAAGUGCUGAAAGCAUCUAAGCACGAAACUUGCCCCGAGAUGAGUUCUCCCUGACUCCUUGAGAGUCCUGAAGGAACGUUGAAGACGACGACGUUGAUAGGCCGGGUGUGUAAGCGCAGCGAUGCGUUGAGCUAACCGGUACUAAUGAACCGUGAGGCUUAACCUU